RNAcentral lists this ribosomal RNA (254 nucleotides) under uncultured bacterium. RNAcentral's name for it is "partial 16S ribosomal RNA". It matches the Rfam family "Bacterial small subunit ribosomal RNA", at positions 524 to 776 of the family's 1533-position model. The record is from RNAcentral.
UACGAAGGGGGCUAGCGUUGUUCGGAAUUACUGGGCGUAAAGCGCGCGUAGGCGGUUUUGCAAGCAAGAGGUGAAAUGCCAGAGCUCAACAUUGGAAUUGCCUUUGGGACUGUGAGACUUCGAGGACUGGAGAGGUGGGUGGAAUUCCCAGUGUAGAGGUGAAAUUCGUAGAUAUUGGGAAGAACACCGGUGGCGAAGGCGGCUCCCUGGCCAGUUUCUGACGCUGUAGCGCGAAAGCGUGGGGAUCAAACAGG